AUACUUACCUGGACGGGGUCAAUGGGUGAUCAAAAAGGCCUAUGGCCUAGGUUAGUGACCUCCAUUGCACUGAGGAGGGGUGCUAGCCUAAGGUCUCCCCAAGUUGGGAGAGCCUACGUCGUAAUUUGUGGCAGUGGGGGCCUGCGUUCGCGCGGCCCCUCU
Non-coding RNA from Ricinus communis (castor bean), 162 nucleotides. The record is from Rfam. Lineage: Eukaryota; Viridiplantae; Streptophyta; Magnoliopsida; Malpighiales; Euphorbiaceae.